GCUACGUCCUCUGGCCAAGCUGUAGU
This 26-nucleotide non-coding RNA is filed under the name Rattus norvegicus (Norway rat). The record is from RNAcentral. Lineage: Eukaryota; Metazoa; Chordata; Mammalia; Rodentia; Muridae.